GACGAACGCUGGCGGCGUGCUUAACACAUGCAAGUCGAACGAAGUGGCGAACGGGUGAGUAACGCGUAAUCAACCUGCCCUUCAGAGGGGGACAACAGUUGGAAACGACUGCUAAUACCGCAUACUGAAGGAGGGGAUUGCGUCUGAUUAGCUAGUUGGAGGGGUAACGGCCCACCAAGGCGAAGAUCAGUAGCCGGGGUGAGCGAAUGAACGGCCACAUUGAGACUGAGACACGGCCCAGACUCCUACGGGAAGCAGCAGUGGGGAAUCUGCCGCAAUGGACGAAAGUCUGAUGGAGCAACGCCGCGUGAGUGAUGACGUCCUUCGGGUUGUAAAGCUCUGUUAAUCGGGACGCGGUACCGGAAUAGAAAGCCACGGCUAACUACGUGCCAGCAGCCGCGGUAAUUC
RNAcentral lists this ribosomal RNA (408 nucleotides) under uncultured bacterium. RNAcentral describes it as "partial 16S ribosomal RNA". It matches the Rfam family "Bacterial small subunit ribosomal RNA", at positions 28 to 526 of the family's 1533-position model. The record is from RNAcentral.